Molecule: long non-coding RNA, 945 nt
Organism: Oncorhynchus tshawytscha (Chinook salmon)
Lineage: Eukaryota; Metazoa; Chordata; Actinopteri; Salmoniformes; Salmonidae
Source: Ensembl
UUUAAAAAAAAUGCACAGAAUCUUGAAGGUAGUUGUUUGCAAGAAAAGGAGAAACCGCCUGGGUGCUCGCCGUGCCAUCAGAAUCAUUAUCUCAGCCGCUCGACUCCUUAAACCCUCUGAAAGGGUAACGGUAGUAACUCAUUCCUCACUUGGUGGUUUCCCAUCCUGUAUGGCUCUCAGGUCUUCAGUCAUGAUAACUCACUGUCCCUCAUGAAUCACAGGGCCUGAGGUGAAGACAGACGACUCAUCUCCUUCGCCAUCUGUCCCCUUUUGACAAGCUUGUCGAAGGAAGAUGUCGGUUCAUCAUCAUAACGCUCUCUGCUACAGCGGCUCUAGUCUCCUCUCCCGCAGCGGCUCUAGUCUCCUCUGCCGCAGCGGCUCUAGUCUCCUCUGCCGCAGCGGCUCUAGUCUCCUCUGCCGCAGCGGCUCUAGUCUCCUCUGCCGCAGCGGCUCUAGUCUCCUCUGCCGCAGCGGCUCUAGUCUCCUCUCACGCAGCGGCUCUAGUCUCCUCUCCCGCAGCGGCUCUAGGUCUCCUCUCACGCAGCGGCUCUAGGUCUCCUCUCACGCAGCGGCUCUAGGUCUCCUCUCACGCAGCGGCUCUAGGUCUCCUCUGCUACAGCGGCUCUAGGUCUCCUCUGCUACAGCGGCUCUAGGUCUCCUCUCACGCAGCGGCUCUAGGUCUCCUCUCACGCAGCGGCUCUAGGUCUCCUCUCCCGCAGCGGCUCUAGUUCUCCUCUCACGCAGCGGCUCUAGGUCUCCUCUCCCGCAGCGGCUCUAGGUCUCCUCUGCUACAGCGGCUCUAGGUCUCCUCUGCUACAGCGGCUCUAGGUCUCCUCUGCUACAGCGGCUCUAGGUCUCCUCUGCUACAGCGGCUCUAGGUCUCCUCUGCCGCAGCGGCUCUAGGUCUCCUCUGCCGCAGCGGCUCUAGGUCUCCUCUGCCGCAGC